GUCUGGUCCCGAGUGCAGCGGUGUUUACAACUAAUUGAUCACAACCAGUUACAGAUUCCUUUGUUCUUUCUCCACUCCCACUGCUACACUUGACCAGCCUUAA
This 103-nucleotide Y RNA is filed under the name Prolemur simus (greater bamboo lemur). RNAcentral's name for it is "Y RNA (ENSPSMG00000012921.1)". It matches the Rfam family "Y RNA". From Rfam's summary of the family: Y RNAs are components of the Ro ribonucleoprotein particle (Ro RNP), in association with Ro60 and La proteins. The Y RNAs and Ro60 and La proteins are well conserved, but the function of the Ro RNP is not known. Lineage: Eukaryota; Metazoa; Chordata; Mammalia; Primates; Lemuridae. The record is from Rfam by way of RNAcentral.